AAGUCGUAACAAGGUAACCGUAGGUGAACCUGCGGUUGGAUCAUUAGUGGUUUUUACGUAGCGCUGUUGUAGUGUUUCUGGGGGGUGUUGGUCUUUGGUUUUGUGUGUUUGUCUGUUUUUGUCUUUUUGUUUGUCUGUUUUUGUGCAUUGCCUUGUGCUGCCUUGUGCUGCCUUGUGCGGUGCCGUGGCAGUACAAACGGAUCGACGGCAACACUCGGACCAGACCCAAGAACCCUUGCAGACAAUAGACGUCUUUGCUUGCUUUGAUGAAACCAAAUCAAAAACAACUUUUGACAACGGAUCUCUUGGCUCUC
Molecule: unclassified non-coding RNA, 314 nt
Filed under: fungal sp.
Lineage: Eukaryota; Fungi
Description: partial internal transcribed spacer region
Rfam family: Eukaryotic small subunit ribosomal RNA (bases 1-46)
Source: RNAcentral